This 254-nucleotide ribosomal RNA is filed under the name uncultured bacterium. RNAcentral describes it as "partial 16S ribosomal RNA". It matches the Rfam family "Bacterial small subunit ribosomal RNA", at positions 524 to 777 of the family's 1533-position model. The record is from RNAcentral.
UACGAAGGGGGCUAGCGUUGCUCGGAAUCACUGGGCGUAAAGGGUGCGUAGGCGGGUCUUUAAGUCAGGGGUGAAAUCCUGGAGCUCAACUCCAGAACUGCCUUUGAUACUGAGGAUCUUGAGUUCGGGAGAGGUGAGUGGAACUGCGAGUGUAGAGGUGAAAUUCGUAGAUAUUAGGAAGAACACCAGUGGCGAAGGCGGCUCACUGGCCCGGUACUGACGCUGAGGCGCGAAAGCGUGGGGAGCAAACAGGG